CGUAAAAGCGCAUGCAGGUGGUUUGUUAAGUCAGAUGUGAAAAGCCCGGGGCUCAAACCUCGGAAACUGCAUUUGAAAAACUGGCAGACUAGAGUACUGUAGAGGGGGUAGAAUUUCAGGUGUAGCGGUGAAAAUGCGUAGAGAUCUGAAGGAAUACCGGUGGCGAAGGCGGCCCCUGGACAGAUACUGACACUCAGAUGCGAAAGCGUGGGGAGCAAACAGGAUUAGAUACCCUGUAG
Molecule: ribosomal RNA, 239 nt
Filed under: uncultured bacterium
Lineage: Bacteria
Description: partial 16S ribosomal RNA
Rfam family: Bacterial small subunit ribosomal RNA
Source: RNAcentral